GUGGGGAAUAUUGCGCAAUGGACGAAAGUCUGACGCAGCGACGCCGCGUGAGUGAUGAAGGCCUUAGGGUCGUAAAGCUCUGUUGAAUGGGAAGAAAAAAAUGACGGUACCAUUCGAGGAAGGACCGGCUAACUUCGUGCCAGCAGCCGCGGUAAUACGAGGGGUCCUAGCGUUGUUCGGAAUCAUUGGGCGUAAAGGGUGUGUAGGUGGCCAUGUAAGUCAGGUGUGAAAGCCCCGGGCUCAACCCGGGAAGUGCACUUGAUACUGCGUGGCUUGAGUACCGAAGAGGGUAGUGGAAUUCCAGGUGUAGUGGUGAAAUACGUAGAUAUCUGGAGGAACACCGGUGGCGAAGGCGGCUACCUGGUCGAGUACUGACACUGAGACACGAAAGCAUGGGGAUCAAACAGGAUUAGAAACCCUUGUAGUCC
RNAcentral lists this ribosomal RNA (428 nucleotides) under uncultured bacterium. RNAcentral's name for it is "partial 16S ribosomal RNA". It matches the Rfam family "Bacterial small subunit ribosomal RNA", at positions 354 to 796 of the family's 1533-position model. The record is from RNAcentral.